RNAcentral lists this ribosomal RNA (253 nucleotides) under uncultured bacterium. Its description in RNAcentral is "partial 16S ribosomal RNA". It matches the Rfam family "Bacterial small subunit ribosomal RNA", at positions 524 to 776 of the family's 1533-position model. The record is from RNAcentral.
GACGGGGGCUGCAAGCGUUAUCCGGAAUCACUGGGCGUAAAGGGUCUGGAGGUGGUGAUGCAAGUCACUGGUGCAAAACUCUGGCUCAACCGGAGGAAAGCCAGUGAAACUGCAUGACUAGAGUGUGGGAGAGGUAGAAGGAAUUCCAUGAGUAGCGGUGAAAUGCGUAGAUACAAGGAACAACACCGGAGGCGAAAGCGUUCUACUGGAACACUACUGACUCUGUGAGAUGAAAGCUAGGGGAGCGAAUGGG